UACAGAGGGGGCAAGCGUUGUUCGGAAUUACUGGGCGUAAAGGGCGCGUAGGCGGCCUGCUAAGUCGAACGUGAAAUCCCUGGGCUCAACCCAGGAACUGCGUCCGAUACUGGUUGGCUUGAAUCCGGGAGAGGGAUGUGGAAUUCCAGGUGUAGCGGUGAAAUGCGUAGAUAUCAGGAGGAACACCUGUGGCGAAAGCGGCUCACUGGACCAUAACUGACGCUGAUGCACGAAAGCUAGGGGAGCAAACAGG
Molecule: ribosomal RNA, 253 nt
Filed under: uncultured bacterium
Lineage: Bacteria
Description: partial 16S ribosomal RNA
Rfam family: Bacterial small subunit ribosomal RNA
Source: RNAcentral